GGGGGUAUAGCUCAGUUGGUAGAGCAAAUGACUCUUAAUCAUUGGGUCUAGGGUUCGAGUCCCUAUACCCCCA
Transfer RNA from Abiotrophia defectiva ATCC 49176, 73 nucleotides. It matches the Rfam family "tRNA". From Rfam's summary of the family: Transfer RNA (tRNA) molecules are approximately 80 nucleotides in length. Their secondary structure includes four short double-helical elements and three loops (D, anti-codon, and T loops). The record is from Rfam. Lineage: Bacteria; Bacillati; Bacillota; Bacilli; Lactobacillales; Aerococcaceae.